GGGAUUUUAUCUUCAAAAGCACCUCCAUUGCCUGAAGCAAACUUUUGGCCCCUAAGCAUCCUAAGAGACAGAAUGAUUAUUACCUCAGGGCACCAUUGCUCUUACAACAGAUAUUUAGCCUUUGCACCAAGACAUCUAACAGCCCCGCAUCUUGCUUCU
Long non-coding RNA from Lagopus leucura (white-tailed ptarmigan), 159 nucleotides. RefSeq lists it as uncharacterized. Lineage: Eukaryota; Metazoa; Chordata; Aves; Galliformes; Phasianidae. The record is from RefSeq and is a predicted model, not a curated record. The transcript has 3 exons.